This 546-nucleotide ribosomal RNA is filed under the name Ficobolus paniaguai. RNAcentral's name for it is "partial 28S ribosomal RNA". The record is from RNAcentral. Lineage: Eukaryota; Metazoa; Arthropoda; Insecta; Hymenoptera; Braconidae.
CCUGAGAAACCUAAAAGAUCGAAUGAGGAGAUUCAUCGCCAGCUUAUUUUGUAUAUAUACAAGUUAUGAUAUAAGUUACUCUUGAGUAUUUCUUUGUACAUACUAGUAUAUUUAUUAACAAGAUAUUGUCGGCGUGCACUUCUCCUCUAGUAGGACAUCGUGACCCGUUUGGUGUCGAUCUAUGACCAAAGGUGUUAGACUUUAAUAUUAUUUUAUAAUAUUUAAAGACCCUUUGUGUUUUUUUUUUCUGAUCGUCUGCCUAGCGGUAUUCAUACGGUAUUUAGCCGCAUUAUAUAUGCGUUCAUAACCGUCACAAGCUAGAUUAAUUUUUAGUAGUAUGGAUUUUAAAUGCCAUCACUUGAAUUAAUCAGUUGUUGGUUGUACGGAAUUCUAGAACUGGCUAUAAAAAUAUAUAUAUACCGGUCAACGAUGCUAUUGCUUUAGGUACUUUCAGGACCCGUCUUGAAACACGGACCAAGGAGUCUAACAUGUACGCAAGUCAUUGGGAUUUAUAAAAAAAAUUAAACCUAACGGCGUAAUGAAAGU